RNAcentral lists this ribosomal RNA (113 nucleotides) under Cordylochernes scorpioides. Lineage: Eukaryota; Metazoa; Arthropoda; Arachnida; Pseudoscorpiones; Chernetidae. The record is from RNAcentral.
ACCGCCAUAUCACAAUGAAAACACCUUUUCUAUUCCGAUCACCGAAGUUAAGCAAUGUCGGGCCCGGUCAGUACUUGGGAGGGUGACCAUUGGAACACCGGGUGCUGUAGGCU